Molecule: ribosomal RNA, 253 nt
Filed under: uncultured bacterium
Lineage: Bacteria
Description: partial 16S ribosomal RNA
Rfam family: Bacterial small subunit ribosomal RNA
Source: RNAcentral
UACGAAGGGGGCUAGCGUUGUUCGGAAUCACUGGGCGUAAAGCGUACGUAGGCGGAUCGUUAAGUCAGAGGUGAAAGCCUGGAGCUCAACUCCAGAACUGCCUUUGAUACUGGCGAUCUUGAGACCGGGAGAGGUGAGUGGAACUGCUAGUGUAGAGGUGAAAUUCGUAGAUAUUAGCAAGAACACCAGUGGCGAAGGCGGCUCACUGGCCCGGUACUGACGCUGAGGUACGAAAGCGUGGGGAGCAAACAGG